Molecule: long non-coding RNA, 2940 nt
Filed under: Cricetulus griseus (Chinese hamster)
Lineage: Eukaryota; Metazoa; Chordata; Mammalia; Rodentia; Cricetidae
Description: lncRNA (ENSCGRG00015038904.1)
Source: RNAcentral
GGAGCCCUUCCUGGCGAACAAAGGAAGCGCCCCCCGGGCUGCAGAGGCGGUGGGGGGGUGGUGGAGUAGUGGUGGGGUGGGUGGAGGGACUUGGGACUGUUCUGAGAAGAGUGGGACUUGUUUACUAGAGAACCAGCCUGUGACUCCUGGGGAAAGGGGGUGGAGAGGGGGAAAAUACGGGAGAGAGUGAGGCAACUGGGGCUCAAAACAGUCAAAUUCAAAUUAAAAGGUCAAGACACGAUUCAGCUUGGCCCCUGGGCCUGGGAGCUUCGGACCACAAGUCUUGGAGAUUAACUGAGUUGCAAGUUCAUUGUGGGGACUGAGAAUCUCCAGUGUUUGGAGUGGGCCCGGGAACGGCUCGGCUCACGGCCAUCUCAGGCAAAAAGAGAACCCCGGUGGAUUUAGGGAUCCCUGGAGGAGGAAGCUGAAGAUUAGAGGUACCCUUUCUCCAGCCCUGAAGUUGCUUGCAGUCUGGGCCUAACUGGAUGAACAACUCCGGCCACUGGGCUUUGGCCUUGGGGCCGGCUUAGUAGGGUGUUUUGCUUCAUGCCCCAGCGGCUGUCGUUUUCCGCUUGACCUUGCCCUUACUAAAACAAGGAAUAUUUCUGAAUAUAACCUGUAGGCCUUAGCUGGGUUGGAGGAUUGGUGUAUGUAUGCAUGCAGAAAAGGAGCACAAGACGCAGUUAAAUCUCAUCCGCGAGAAGAGUUCUUUUAAAGCGAUAGGUCUGGGAGUAUGUUUUAGAGAAGAGGGGGCGGUCUAGUGUGUGUGUGUGUGUGUGUGUGUGUGUGUGUGUGUGUGUGUUUAUUAAAGGGAAAACGCAGGGAGAAAUGUGUGUUUAAAAUAGUUCGUUCGAUUUCUCCAUCACCUUUCUUCCAAAGCGAACUAAACUCUCCACCCCUUCCUCAGGAAACGGAAUCCGGAGAAUAACUUGUCUUUCCGGUAGCCCCGCAUUUUUCCCCAGGCAGAGGCUGUGGACUUUCCUUUUUCCGAAGGACCAGAGCCUGGCUGGGAAAGGAUUCCUGGGCCUGACGCACCGGCAUGGAUGAGAGAAGAAGCUGGACCGAUUUCUGGAGGCCCUAGCCGGCUGUGAUGGAAGAAGACUAAGGAAAGAAUUGUGCCCCGAAUUCCCCCAACCAGGAGAAGAAGACCCAGGGGUCCCUUAAUUCCAGGGGCGGGGGGGGGGAAUCGAAAGAUCCGUGGAGUUUGUGACUUAUUUGCAACUGGCAGGGAAGAUCUGAAAUAGUUUUAUGUUUUCGUUUGCAGGGGUCACCCUGGAUUCAGCCUGGGGGUUAUCCAGGGCAAGGUUAGGCUGUUUAGGCCCCAGACCAGACUUGGGACAGUCCCCAGCAGCAGUCAAUCGAGGGAGCCAUUUGUUCCACUGACCAUCCCGCGGGAAACAGCCGAGACUUUAUGGCCACUCUGUUUGUAUUAUCUGCAUAAGUCUUUCCCCACGAGUUUGAUCGAAACCGUUCCCUUUUACGAGGACCCAAAGAAAAUUUCCCGUCAUAUUUAUCAGCUGGGGAUAAAAAUUUAGUAUGGGAACUGAUAUUUCCUCAUUUAUGGGACGAUGAAAUUAAAGACCAAAGCAAUUGAGAAUUAUAUGGCUUUGGGGGUUCCCUCCCCCUCUUUCACAUCUCUUUAUUUCCCUCCAUGGUGUGCCUGUCCCUGGAGUCUGUCCUCUCAAAACCCUGCCCUUGUCCCCUGUUUUGGAGGCUGGUAGGGCUCUUUCUCCAACAGCCAGGUGCAGCUGGGCUACCAUAGCUCUUCCCAGCUUUUAUCUCAAGGACCGGAGGAACUAGGGAAGGGACAGUGUCUCCAUGUAGAACACGGUGUGCUGGCUGGAGAGGAGGUUUUGAGGGAAGAGCUUUGCAGGGGACAGUGGGAUUGGAACCCAGCCUCAGAUACUGAGAGUCAGAAAAUUAAGUCAACAAAUUCUAGAAUAAUCCUCAAACAACAUGCUCCCUCACAGCAACUGGCCGGCUAGCAAGAGAGAAGCAAAGUCAUUCAGCUUCUGGGCCUCUCUUCCCUACCAGCCAGAACCCCCCCCCCAACCCAAGCCUACCUCUAACCUCAGCCAUGGGAGGGAAGGGAGUUGCUUCAGGAUUCUUACCAUUAUGAGUGGAAAUAAUACCCUUAGGAGAAAAGCUUCCUGCUUCAACUCCCACCUCCUCACAAGAACGAAUAGUGUUUAAAGUUGAAAUAAUUAGAAGUAUGAUAAACACGGCCCAUUAAUGAAACAAGAAAUCAAAUUCAUCAGCCUAAGUGGGACCCCCGUUGGGACAAAUGUUUGCCUCUAAUUACUCAAGAUAAACGAAAACCCAGUGCUGUUAAGCAAGAGCCUUCUGGCUUGCUCGGACGCAGACGUGACUAACUUGUUGGCUUUCCCAAGACUUUGGGAUCUAACUUAAAGGAGGAACAAUUCGCUUUUCUUCCAGAGUACCACUUGAAUUGAGAGCAGGGGAACUCCAAGCAAAAAGUGGAAUGCUCAGAGGUUCAAGGGGAAAGGGUUUCAAACAGGUAAAAGAGGAUAAAGACAGGCCGGAUCCAUGACUCCUCAUUCCAGUUGCUCCAGCUUGAAGUUGACCUUCCGCCUUCAGCCUCAGCUCAGCUCAGCUCAGCUCCUCACAAGGCGAAGUGUACAACAGUCAGCCAGCAGAGGUGGCCAGGCCUCAGAGUCGCCAUUAGAGAGAAGGGAAUGCCGACUCAGAGGCACCUCCCAUCCAUGCCAAAGGCUCCUUGAAAUGCCAGGCUCCAGGGGUUCCAUGUCAUCUUCAUUUCCAGCAUGCUAAAGAAACUUGGUCCAUCAGAUCCAUAAUUAAAGAAAAGCUCCCUUAUCUUUGUUCUGACUCCAGCACUGAGAUUAAAUAGACUAAAGUUGAGCCUGUUUGUGCUCUCAGCGCUAGAGUUAGAAGAAGUGAGAGUGAGGGUCUGUCAGUUAC